UUGAGCCAUUGCACACCAGCCUGGCGACAGAACAAGACUCCGUCUCAAAAAAAAAAAAUCAGACAUUAGAGACAGGAAGGUUGCUUGAGUUUGAGGAUAUAGUGAGCUACCACAGUGCCACUGCACUCCAUAGUGAGAGUCUGUCUCCAGAAAAAAAAGAGAGACAUCAGUGGGCAAAUUGUUCAUUUAAAAUAUUUUUUAGGAGGUACAAUAGUGUGGUAGUUAGGGGCACGAACUCUGAAGUCAGAUGUGGGCUGAAACUACAGCCUUAGCACUAACCAGCCGUGUGACCUUUUGAACAUCACAUAGCCUCUCUGUGCCUCAGUGUCUUAUCCAUAAAAUACAGAUACUGAAACUUUCCAGUUGUGAUGAUUGAGCAGGAUAGUGUGCAGGAAGAUUGUGCCAUGGUAUCCAGUAGCCACUUAUUUAUACAUAUUUAUACCCUGCCUCAUUCCAUCAUCAUUACCUUUACUAUGAUCAUCCUCCUCAUCACUUUUAUGGUUAACAAACCUCCAGCAUUUAUCAUCAAACUCAGAAACCCUGGGAGAACCACUCGCUGCCUCUCAGGUCAGCAGGGUUAACGAAGGUAUCUGGCUGGAGCAGAGGAUUCUGGGAGUGCCACCUGGGAGAAGGACAAUCUUUACAGUUAAUACUAAGGAUCAGGUGGCUGCCUUGGUGCGUCCUUGAAACAGCAGCAGUUGACACACUCAAGCAUGGUCUGGACAAGAGGACCCUCAGAGAGGAGGUCAGGAGGAUGGCAGGGUCCAGGUUCCAGGAGCAAGCCAAGGCCUGGCCCAUGUAAGGAGAAUGAAGCGAGUUCUGCCCUGGUUCUUGCUCUCCCUCCUGUCCCCUUAUGCUUUGUCUCCUCUUCUGGGUCCCCACCAUGUUCCCGCAGAGGCCCAGUGGAGCAGGCUGAAGGCAGCCUUUUGACUCUGACAGGAGGGAUGUCUCCUAACCCAUUCGGGCUGAGAUCUCAAGGCCUUUAGGUGUUCCCUUUCUGGGGAAAUGUGCACAGUGCCCUCUAUCUGGUUGACUUUCUGCCUCCUUCUUAGAAGGACCCUCGUGAUUCCACUGGGCCCACCCAGAUAAUCCAGAACAAUCUCCCACCUCAAGAUCCUUAAUCACGGCCGGGUGCAGUGGCUCACACCUGUAAUCCCAGCACUUUGGGAGGCCGAGGCAGGUGGAUCACUUGAGGUCAGGAGUUCGAGACCAGCCUGGCCAACAUGGUGAAACUCUGUCUCUACUAAAAAUACAAAGAUUAGCUGGGCGUCGUGGCGCGUGCCUGUAAUCCCAGCUACUUGGGAGGCUGAGGCAGGAGAAUUGUGGAGGUUGCAGUGAGCUGAGAUUGUAGCACUGCACUCCAACCUGGGUGACAGAGUGAGACUUCACCUCAAAAAAAAAAAAAAAAUCCUUAAUCACACCUACAAAGUCCAAGUAACAGAUUCACAGGUUCUAGGAAUUAGGACGUGGAUGUCUUUGGGGGGCCAUUAUUCAGCCUACCACAGAGAGGCACUGCUUAACCCAAAAUAAUAUAUGUGUAAUGGUGGCAUUUCAGACAAUUGUAUCAGGGGGUUUCCUUGUGUCUUGUAUUUGUAUUAUACAAGGCUGGGCCUCCAGGCAGGCUCCAGCACACACAGCUGCCGCCGAUCCUCUCUCACCUCUGCUCUCUUGCUUCAUCUCAAGUCAACCUUCCGCAGCUGAUGACAUUCUUCUGGCAUGGGAGCAGCGCCAGCUGAGGGGCUGCCAGCACCUCCUAUCAGCCCUGACCCUUCCACUCUGGGGGGAGGGAACACACUCUCAGGUCACUGUUGGCCUCCAAGGAUCAACUGAGAAUAAAGCCCAAGUUCUCCAGCCUGGCAUUCAAGGCUCUUCACACUCAGACUCCAGCCUAUUUCUCUGGCCCCACUACAGGCACUUCACAUAAUCUGCACAGAGACUCUAUAACAGUCUCUCAUCAUCAUCUCCAUUUGCCCAACAUCACACAGCUGGCAAGUGGAGCUGGAAUAUGGACCCAGGUCCCCUGGAUGCCAUCCUGCUGUGUCAUGAGCGAUAAGCACAGACUGCUGGAACACAGUCCAUUCACCAAAACUGUGCCUUCCAAACAGUAAGGGUGUCAAUAAUGGGUGGAGGGGAAAGUGUGAAGAGGAACCAGGGCAAGGAACUUGGAAGGUGAGGAUUGCGUAUGCUGGUCUAGAAGCUCUUAUUUCACUCUCAGGACAACCCUCCUGGAAUUAUCAUCUCCGGUUAGAGUUGAGACACCUUCAUUCAUUUCAGCAACUUUAAGGAAUUUACCCAUGGUCAAACAGAAGUCCCUGUCAGAGCCAGCAUUUGACUGCAAAAUCAGCUGGCAGGCAGGCAGCACUGUCCCUCUGCAGAGUGGCACCUACAAAGUCCUCAGUCCCUCGUUUCCACCGCAACCCAGUGCUAGCUCCCUCUCUGAGCACCUGAAAUUACCUUUGCUAAUCAGGACUUUGCAGUUAGGCGUAUUUUUGUAAGACUCCUGUUAGAAUGAAAAUAUGUUACCUGGAAAGAGAAGCAUGUUGGGCGAAUGGUUUCUGACCUCCUAUAGAGUUGGCAAAAUUGUGUGUGUGUACGCAUGAGUGUGUGAUCUGAAGGGCCCAGGUGCCCAAAUACCAUUAGAGACUAACUCCUUUGUCUCCAUCUGCUGAAUCUGCGUGCUGAAUGGGGUGUGUGUGUAGAGGAACUUUCCUAGAAAAAAUAAGGAUGGAAGCCUGGAAUCAGGGAGGGCAGCCUGAUGAUGGGUCACCAUGGGGAAGCUCUUUCAUGAGUGCCCUGGAAGGCAGCACAGGAAAUAACAUGUUAGGAUGGGAGGAGGAUUCCAGAGAAGCAGGCUUUAGGUUGGGUGGUCCACUUGCAUUGCUUUGUCUCCAGGAAAGUUGCUUUCCCCUAACCUGCGACCUGGCUUUCCUUCCCUGUGAAGAGAGGGGUGGAACUAGAGGCUUAUACCCUGCUCCAAGACCCUGCAGCCCAACAAAAGGCCCAUUUUCCCUUUGUUAGUUACUCGAAUGCCAGAGAGAAGGGCUCCCUCUUUUCAUGCUUCCCCAGUCCAGCUGGGGCAGAAUCAUGAGGGCUGCAGAGGACGCUGCUGGGACAAGACCUCCUCUAGGGGGGUCCUGUAUCCCAUGCCUAUUACUGGCCUGCUGGGGCCAGCCUGUCUUCUGACAGCUGUGUCUCCCACCAGCACAGUUAAUUUGCUGCCGUUCCUGGGAUGUGACAGCAACUUGAAGCAAAGCAAUUAGGAUGAAAAAGAGGCCCCAGCUCCUUGAGGCCAAAGGAAAAUAAACAGAGCAGCCCUGUGUGUAUUCCGCCGCCAAGAGGAGCCAUUCUUCAAGGGAUGAUUAGCAUUUCUAAUCCCAGCUUCCUCCCUUCCCUUGAAAGAAAAGUGACCGGUGAGCGGCUGCUCUUUUCAGAUCCCACUCUUCCCAAGGUGGACUGCAAACUUGACAGCUCGUCACCUCCACAGAAAAGUCUUCCCUGGCCACCUGCCACAGCCCUGCCAGAAAUGAUACUCCUGUCCUCUGAAAUCUGAGAGCCUUUCUCUGUACCUUUCCUAUGGAGUUUCCUUGAUUGACUGAUCAAUUCAUUAAUGCAUUCUUUCAACAAACAUCCGUUGAGUGCCAUUCAUUCAUUCAACAAAUAUUUCUUAAGUCCCUACUAAAUAAAUCAUCUCUUAAGCUGCCUACUA
RNAcentral lists this long non-coding RNA (3706 nucleotides) under Homo sapiens (human). Its description in RNAcentral is "HSALNT0381796". The record is from RNAcentral. Lineage: Eukaryota; Metazoa; Chordata; Mammalia; Primates; Hominidae.